This 600-nucleotide ribosomal RNA is filed under the name Marinobacter sp. MDS2. Its description in RNAcentral is "bacterial SSU rRNA". It matches the Rfam family "Bacterial small subunit ribosomal RNA", at positions 1 to 592 of the family's 1533-position model. The record is from RNAcentral. Lineage: Bacteria; Pseudomonadati; Pseudomonadota; Gammaproteobacteria; Pseudomonadales; Marinobacteraceae.
AAACUGAAGAGUUUGAUCAUGGCUCAGAUUGAACGCUGGCGGCAGGCUUAACACAUGCAAGUCGAGCGGAAACGAUGAUAGCUUGCUAUCAGGCGUCGAGCGGCGGACGGGUGAGUAAUGCUUAGGAAUCUGCCCAGUAGUGGGGGACAACAGUCGGAAACGGCUGCUAAUACCGCAUACGCCCUACGGGGGAAAGCAGGGGAUCUUCGGACCUUGCGCUAUUGGAUGAGCCUAAGUCGGAUUAGCUAGUUGGUGAGGUAAAGGCUCACCAAGGCGACGAUCCGUAGCUGGUUUGAGAGGAUGAUCAGCCACAUCGGGACUGAGACACGGCCCGAACUCCUACGGGAGGCAGCAGUGGGGAAUAUUGGACAAUGGGGGCAACCCUGAUCCAGCCAUGCCGCGUGUGUGAAGAAGGCUUUCGGGUUGUAAAGCACUUUCAGCGAGGAGGAAGGCUCUAAAGUUAAUACCUUUAGGGAUUGACGUUACUCGCAGAAGAAGCACCGGCUAACUCCGUGCCAGCAGCCGCGGUAAUACGGAGGGUGCAAGCGUUAAUCGGAAUUACUGGGCGUAAAGCGCGCGUAGGUGGUUGAGUAAGCGAGA